Molecule: ribosomal RNA, 1215 nt
Filed under: Staphylococcus epidermidis
Lineage: Bacteria; Bacillati; Bacillota; Bacilli; Caryophanales; Staphylococcaceae
Description: bacterial SSU rRNA
Rfam family: Bacterial small subunit ribosomal RNA
Source: RNAcentral
AAGUCGAGCGAAAGACGAGGAGCUUGCUCCUCUGACGUUAGCGGCGGACGGGUGAGUAACACGUGGAUAACCUACCUAUAAGACUGGGAUAACUUCGGGAAACCGGAGCUAAUACCGGAUAAUAUAUUGAACCGCAUGGUUCAAUAGUGAAAGACGGUUUUGCUGUCACUUAUAGAUGGAUCCGCGCCGCAUUAGCUAGUUGGUAAGGUAACGGCUUACCAAGGCAACGAUGCGUAGCCGACCUGAGAGGGUGAUCGGCCACACUGGAACUGAGACACGGUCCAGACUCCUACGGGAGGCAGCAGUAGGGAAUCUUCCGCAAUGGGCGAAAGCCUGACGGAGCAACGCCGCGUGAGUGAUGAAGGUCUUCGGAUCGUAAAACUCUGUUAUUAGGGAAGAACAAAUGUGUAAGUAACUAUGCACGUCUUGACGGUACCUAAUCAGAAAGCCACGGCUAACUACGUGCCAGCAGCCGCGGUAAUACGUAGGUGGCAAGCGUUAUCCGGAAUUAUUGGGCGUAAAGCGCGCGUAGGCGGUUUUUUAAGUCUGAUGUGAAAGCCCACGGCUCAACCGUGGAGGGUCAUUGGAAACUGGAAAACUUGAGUGCAGAAGAGGAAAGUGGAAUUCCAUGUGUAGCGGUGAAAUGCGCAGAGAUAUGGAGGAACACCAGUGGCGAAGGCGACUUUCUGGUCUGUAACUGACGCUGAUGUGCGAAAGCGUGGGGAUCAAACAGGAUUAGAUACCCUGGUAGUCCACGCCGUAAACGAUGAGUGCUAAGUGUUAGGGGGUUUCCGCCCCUUAGUGCUGCAGCUAACGCAUUAAGCACUCCGCCUGGGGAGUACGACCGCAAGGUUGAAACUCAAAGGAAUUGACGGGGACCCGCACAAGCGGUGGAGCAUGUGGUUUAAUUCGAAGCAACGCGAAGAACCUUACCAAAUCUUGACAUCCUCUGACCCCUCUAGAGAUAGAGUUUUCCCCUUCGGGGGACAGAGUGACAGGUGGUGCAUGGUUGUCGUCAGCUCGUGUCGUGAGAUGUUGGGUUAAGUCCCGCAACGAGCGCAACCCUUAAGCUUAGUUGCCAUCAUUAAGUUGGGCACUCUAAGUUGACUGCCGGUGACAAACCGGAGGAAGGUGGGGAUGACGUCAAAUCAUCAUGCCCCUUAUGAUUUGGGCUACCNACGUGCUACAAUGGACAAUACAAAGGGCACCGAAACC